AGAGUUUGAUCCUGGCUCAGAAUCAACGCUGGCGGCGCGCUUAACACAUGCAAGUCGCACGAGAAAGUGGAGCAAUCCAUGAGUACAGUGGCGUACGGGUGAGUAACACGUGGAUCAUCUACCUCUUAGUGGGGAAUAACCCUGGGAAACCGGGGCUAAUACCGCAUAAGCUCGAGAGAGGAAAGCAGCAAUGCGCUGAGAGAGGAGUCCGCGGCCGAUUAGCUAGUUGGCAGGGUAAACGCCUACCAAGGCAAAGAUCGGUAGCCGGCCUGAGAGGGCACACGGCCACACUGGCACUGAAACACGGGCCAGACUCCUACGGGAGGCAGCAGUGGGGAAUCUUGCACAAUGGGGGAAACCCUGAUGCAGCGACGCCGCGUGAGCGAUGAAGCCCUUCGGGGUGUAAAGCUCUUUCGGCAGGGACGAUCAUGACGGUACCUGCAGAAGCAGCUGCGGCUAACUACGUGCCAGCAGCCGCGGUAAUACGUAGGCAGCGAGCGUUGUUCGGAGUUACUGGGCGUAAAGGGUGUGUAGGCGGUUGCUUAAGUUUGGUGUGAAAUCUCCCGGCUCAACUGGGAGGGUGCGCCGAAUACUGAGUGACUCGAGUGCGGGAGAGGAGAGUGGAAUUCCUGGUGUAGCGGUGAAAUGCGUAGAUAUCAGGAGGAACACCGGCGGUGUAGACGGCUCUCUGGACCGUAACUGACGCUGAGACACGAAAGCGUGGGUAGCAAACAGGAUUAGAUACCCUGGUAGUCCACGCCCUAAACGAUGCAUAUUUGGUGUGGGUCAUUCAGUUGAUCCGUGCCGGAGCUAACGCGUUAAAUAUGCCGCCUGGGGAGUACAGUCGCAAGGCUGAAACUCAAAGGAAUUGACGGGGCCCGCACAAGCGGUGGAGCAUGGUGGUUCAAUUCGACGCAACGCGAAGAACCUUACCUGGGC
Molecule: ribosomal RNA, 939 nt
Filed under: uncultured bacterium
Lineage: Bacteria
Description: bacterial SSU rRNA
Rfam family: Bacterial small subunit ribosomal RNA
Source: RNAcentral